CUAGAACAUCUCGUGGGAGGCAGUCUC
Molecule: non-coding RNA, 27 nt
Filed under: Cricetulus griseus (Chinese hamster)
Lineage: Eukaryota; Metazoa; Chordata; Mammalia; Rodentia; Cricetidae
Source: RNAcentral